RNAcentral lists this microRNA precursor (188 nucleotides) under Oryza brachyantha (malo sina). RNAcentral's name for it is "MIR812 microRNA precursor family". It matches the Rfam family "MIR812 microRNA precursor family". Lineage: Eukaryota; Viridiplantae; Streptophyta; Magnoliopsida; Poales; Poaceae. The record is from Rfam by way of RNAcentral.
CCUUCGUCCCAAAAUGACUAUUUUUCAGUUUUUUGAUGUCUUAUUUGAAACUUUUUUUGCGAUUAAUAUUUUUAUUCUUACUAGAUGAUAAAAAACAUGAAUGGUACUUUAUAUGUGACUAAUUUUUUUUAAGUUUUUUGUAUAAAUUUUUCAAAUAAGACGAAUGGUUAAACGUUGAACAUGGAAAA